Molecule: long non-coding RNA, 232 nt
Organism: Dromiciops gliroides (monito del monte)
Lineage: Eukaryota; Metazoa; Chordata; Mammalia; Microbiotheria; Microbiotheriidae
Exons: 3
Source: RefSeq, a predicted model, not a curated record
CCUGAAUCCAGGGCUGGUGCUUUAUCCACUGUGCCACCUAGCUGCCCCCUAUUGCUGCUUAAUUCACUUGGCAUCAGUUCAUAGAAGGUUUUCCAGGUUUCAUGGAAACUGACCCUCUCAUCAUUUCUUAUGGAAUUUUGCAGCUGUAUGGAGGAUGGAUUGGAGAAGGGAGAAACUGGAAACAGAAACCCAGCAUUCUUUGCGGAGGAGUGAUUUGUGAGGUUGAUCUGCU